CCUACGGGAGGCAGCAGUGAGGAAUAUUGGUCAAUGGACGAGAGUCUGAACCAGCCAAGUAGCGUGAAGGAUGACUGCCCUAUGGGUUGUAAACUUCUUUUAUAAAGGAAUAAAACGAGGCACGUGUGCCUUUUUGCAUGUACUUUAUGAAUAAGGAUCGGCUAACUCCGUGCCAGCAGCCGCGGUAAUACGGAGGAUCCGAGCGUUAUCCGGAUUUAUUGGGUUUAAAGGGAGCGUAGAUGGGUUGUUAAGUCAGUUGUGAAAGGUUGCGGCUCAACCGUAAAAUUGCAAUUGAUACUGGCAGUCUUGAGUACAGUUGAGGUAGGCGGAAUUCGUGGUGUAGCGGUGAAAUGCUUAGAUAUCACGAAGAACCCCGAUUGCGAAGGCAGCUUACUAAACUGUGACUGACAUUGAUGCUCGAAAGUGUGGGUAUCAAACAGGAUUAGAUACCCGUGUAGUC
RNAcentral lists this ribosomal RNA (460 nucleotides) under uncultured bacterium. RNAcentral's name for it is "partial 16S ribosomal RNA". It matches the Rfam family "Bacterial small subunit ribosomal RNA", at positions 338 to 795 of the family's 1533-position model. The record is from RNAcentral.